RNAcentral lists this unclassified non-coding RNA (334 nucleotides) under soil metagenome. RNAcentral's name for it is "partial contains 5.8S ribosomal RNA, internal transcribed spacer 2, and large subunit ribosomal RNA". The stretch from base 1 to 120 matches the Rfam family "5.8S ribosomal RNA", at positions 35 to 154 of the family's 154-position model. The record is from RNAcentral.
GAUGAAGAACGUAGCGAAAUGCGAUAAGUAAUGUGAAUUGCAGAAUUCAGUGAAUCAUCGAAUCUUUGAACGCACAUUGCGCCCGCCAGUAUUCUGGCGGGCAUGCCUGUUCGAGCGUCAUUUCAACCAUCAAGCCCCGGGCUUGUGUUGGGGACCUGCGGCUGCCGCAGGCCCUGAAAAGCAGUGGCGGGCUCGCUGUCACACCGAGCGUAGUAGCAUACAUCUCGCUCUGGGCGUGCUGCGGGUUCCGGCCGUUAAACCACCUUUUAACCCAAGGUUGACCUCGGAUCAGGUAGGAAGACCCGCUGAACUUAAGCAUAUAAUAAGCGGAGGA